GACGAACGCUGGCGGCGUGCCUAAUACAUGCAAGUUGAGCGCUGAAGGUUGGUACUUGUACCAACUGGAUGAGCAGCGAACGGGUGAGUAACGCGUGGGGAAUCUGCCUUUGAGCGGGGGACAACAUUUGGAAACGAAUGCUAAUACCGCAUAAAAACUUUAAACACAAGUUUUAAGUUUGAAAGAUGCAAUUGCAUCACUCAAAGAUGAUCCCGCGUUGUAUUAACUAGUUGGUGAGGUAAAGGCUCACCAAGGCGAUGAUACAUAGCCGACCUGAGAGGGUGAUCGGCCACAUUGGGACUGAGACACGGCCCAAACUCCUACGGGAGGCAGCAGUAGGGAAUCUUCGGCAAUGGACGAAAGUCUGACCGAGCAACGCCGCGUGAGUGAAGAAGGGUUUCGGAUCGUAAAACUCUGUUGGUAGAGAAGAACGUUGGUGAGAGUGGAAAGCUCAUCAAGUGACGGUAACUACACAGAAAGGGACGGCUAACUACGUG
Molecule: ribosomal RNA, 497 nt
Filed under: uncultured bacterium
Lineage: Bacteria
Description: partial 16S ribosomal RNA
Rfam family: Bacterial small subunit ribosomal RNA
Source: RNAcentral